This 23-nucleotide non-coding RNA is filed under the name Cricetulus griseus (Chinese hamster). The record is from RNAcentral. Lineage: Eukaryota; Metazoa; Chordata; Mammalia; Rodentia; Cricetidae.
GAGCUGGGAGAAGUUCACUCUGA